UACAGAGGGGGCAAGCGUUGUCCGGAUUUACUGGGCGUAAAGAGCGCGCAGGCGGCCGAGUAAGUCGAAUGUGAAAGCCCCCGGCUCAACUGGGGAAGGUCAUUCGAUACUGUUCGGCUCGAAGAUAGGAGAGGGAAGCGGAAUUUCAGGUGUAGUGGUGAAAUGCGUAGAUAUCUGAAGGAACACCAGUGGCGAAGGCGGCUUUCUGGCCUAUUCUUGACGCUGAGGCGCGAAAGCUAGGGGAGCGAACGGG
Molecule: ribosomal RNA, 253 nt
Filed under: uncultured bacterium
Lineage: Bacteria
Description: partial 16S ribosomal RNA
Rfam family: Bacterial small subunit ribosomal RNA
Source: RNAcentral